UCAGAAAGAGAAGAUAGCGGCGGUUGCCA
This 29-nucleotide non-coding RNA is filed under the name Rattus norvegicus (Norway rat). The record is from RNAcentral. Lineage: Eukaryota; Metazoa; Chordata; Mammalia; Rodentia; Muridae.